AGCUGUGGUUUCGGUACUCUCCCAGUAACUGUUUUUUGGACAACCAGUCACAGCUGGUGGAUUGGAAUCAGGAUCUGCCUAUAAAGAUGCCCAUGCUGCUAGGACCUGUAUUUGCAAGGAAGUGCAAGUGGAGAGUGUAGAAGGUUGCUGCUGGGAGGACUGUGUGUCUCAGUGGUUUCUCCCCUUCAGAAAUAACAACUGCAGCMAACAUCUUUUGUGUAGCAGCAUCUGAGACUACUAAACAUGAAGAUCAAGAAGGAAGGACUGGCUGCAGGGAGACCCUCUGUAGUAUGUAUCAGGUUGUUGAGAGAGUGAGACCAAGCCAGCCAACGUUGGG
Long non-coding RNA from Nothoprocta perdicaria, 337 nucleotides. RefSeq lists it as uncharacterized. The record is from RefSeq and is a predicted model, not a curated record. Lineage: Eukaryota; Metazoa; Chordata; Aves; Tinamiformes; Tinamidae. The transcript is spliced from 3 exons.